UACGAAGGGUGCUAGCGUUGUUCGGAAUCAUUGGGCGUAAAGGGUGCGUAGGCGGUUUGGUAAGUCAAUUGUGAAAGCCCCGGGCUUAACCCGGGAACAGCAAUCGAAACUGCUUUACUGGAGUUUGGUGGGGGAUAGUGGAAUUUCUAGUGUAGGGGUGAAAUCCGUAGAUAUUAGAAAGAACACCAGUGGCGAAGGCGACUAUCUACACCAAUACUGACGCUGAGGCACGAAAGCGUGGGGAGCAAACAGGAUUAGAAACCCGAGUAGU
This 271-nucleotide ribosomal RNA is filed under the name uncultured bacterium. Its description in RNAcentral is "partial 16S ribosomal RNA". It matches the Rfam family "Bacterial small subunit ribosomal RNA", at positions 524 to 794 of the family's 1533-position model. The record is from RNAcentral.